GACGAACGCUGGCGGCGUGCUUAACACAUGCAAGUCGAACGGAGUGGCGAACGGGUGAGUAACACGUGGGUGAUCUGCCUUGCACUUCGGGAUAAGCUUGGGAAACUGGGUCUAAUACCGGAUAGUGCAAGAUGAGCUCGCGGCCUAUCAGCUUGUGGGGGGGGUAAUGGCCUACCAAGGCGUCGACGGGUAGCCGGCCUGAGAGGGGGUACGGCGACCAUGGGACUGAGAGACGGACCAGACUCCUACGGUAGGCAGUAGUGGGGAAUAGUGCACAAUGGGCGGACGUCUGAUGCAGAGACGUCGCGUGGGGGAUGAAGGCCUUCGGGUUGGAAACGCCUUGCGACAGGGACGCGGUACCUGCAUAAGAAGCACCGGCUAACUACGUGCCAGCAGCCGCGGUAAUAC
This 408-nucleotide ribosomal RNA is filed under the name uncultured bacterium. RNAcentral's name for it is "partial 16S ribosomal RNA". It matches the Rfam family "Bacterial small subunit ribosomal RNA", at positions 28 to 526 of the family's 1533-position model. The record is from RNAcentral.